Molecule: non-coding RNA, 119 nt
Organism: Ciona savignyi (Pacific transparent sea squirt)
Lineage: Eukaryota; Metazoa; Chordata; Ascidiacea; Phlebobranchia; Cionidae
Source: Rfam
GCUUAUUACCAUUCCAGAUUGAAUAUACCCGAUCUCGUCUGAUCUCGGAAGUAAAGCAAUCUCGGGCUUGGUUAGUACUUGGAUGGGUGACCGCUUGGGAAUACCAAGUGUGAUAAGCA